GUCUUUGUAGUAUAUUUUAAUAUACUAGUUUUGUAAACCAGAGAAGAGAAUGUAUAAACUCCUAAGACACU
This 71-nucleotide transfer RNA is filed under the name Hemiechinus auritus (long-eared hedgehog). RNAcentral's name for it is "tRNA-Thr". The record is from RNAcentral. Lineage: Eukaryota; Metazoa; Chordata; Mammalia; Eulipotyphla; Erinaceidae.